RNAcentral lists this ribosomal RNA (67 nucleotides) under uncultured Tricholomataceae. RNAcentral's name for it is "partial 5.8S ribosomal RNA". It matches the Rfam family "5.8S ribosomal RNA", at positions 49 to 115 of the family's 154-position model. Rfam says of the family: 5.8S ribosomal RNA (5.8S rRNA) is a component of the large subunit of the eukaryotic ribosome. It is transcribed by RNA polymerase I as part of the 45S precursor that also contains 18S and 28S rRNA. The record is from RNAcentral. Lineage: Eukaryota; Fungi; Basidiomycota; Agaricomycetes; Agaricales; Tricholomataceae.
CGAAAUGCGAUACGUAAUGNGAAUUGCAGGAUUCAGUGAAUCAUCGAAUCUUUGAACGCACCUUGCG